AGCAGCUCGUCCCCGCCUGCCCCUGCCCAGGUUUUCUCUUCAACAUACGCCCCGCAAGCACCUUGGGGUGAGGCAGGGGGUGGCCAGCUCCAUCCUCGGGAAGCACGCGCUCAGCCCUCCGAGAGAAAUAAAGGCGAGGAUAGGAGUGGACGAGGGAUGGGGCAGGCAGAUGGCAGAGAGAAGCCUGGAGGCGCCCGGGCCAGCAGGGCAUUGAGGAUAUAUCCCACGGUGCCCGCAGGCUGGGGGUACCCCCGAGCGCAGAAAAAAAUCCGAGACAGCUAGCUGAGCUCCAACCCGGGAAUUCAGAGUCCUCAGCAGGAGGCAGGACAAGGCCACAGGCUGAGGAGGUGGCAUGACACAUGCCAAGAGUGGGGGCGAAGGAGGAGGACAGCUCUGGGCAGGGAGGGGCCCUGGCUUGUGGCAGCAGGCACAGGAACUAGCCAGACAUGUGGGCAGGGGUCUCCCUGUCCUCUCCAGGCCCUAACGGGUAGCUGAGAACCAGCAACACAACUGCCCCGGCCUGACCUCGUUCACUGAGCAGACUCCGUGCAGGGCCUGCGCUGCCCGGGCCCCACGCCAGGCGAGCUAGAGCCCAGAGGCAUCUGCAGUGACGCUGGCCUCACCGGCUGCCCGGGCACAGGAGGAGACGACAGACAGGGAAGCCCAGCAACGCGGGAGGAUAAGCAGGGUGACACCUGAGGGAUGCGCUCCGAGCUGUGGGCCAGAAGCAGCCUAGAUGGGCAGGGCAGUGAGGACCCUUGCCAGGAACUCACGGACCCCUCACGGCCUGCUGUGGAGACACCAGCUUCAGGGUCCUGCAAGCAAGGAUGGCCGGCUCCCAAACUUUGCGAUCUGUGAGCUGGAAACUUCGACGACCCUAGUACUUCAAAGGGCGGCAAGCUGGCCGCGUGACUUGACACGGCUGGGCCCCACCCGCGUUUCCCUCCCCGUGGCCAAGUGGCUUUGGGAGCUGGCCCAGCGCUGACCCUCCUGAGGCCUGGGCCCGAAGCGCCCACCCACAGCACCUGCUCUGCUGCCCGGCUCCUGGCUGCAGCUGC
RNAcentral lists this long non-coding RNA (1058 nucleotides) under Sus scrofa (pig). RNAcentral describes it as "lncRNA (ENSSSCG00070003753.1)". Lineage: Eukaryota; Metazoa; Chordata; Mammalia; Artiodactyla; Suidae. The record is from RNAcentral.